RNAcentral lists this ribosomal RNA (301 nucleotides) under uncultured bacterium. Its description in RNAcentral is "partial 16S ribosomal RNA". It matches the Rfam family "Bacterial small subunit ribosomal RNA", at positions 509 to 807 of the family's 1533-position model. The record is from RNAcentral.
CAGCCGCCGCGGUAAUACAGAGGGUGCGAGCGUUAAUCGGAUUUACUGGGCGUAAAGCGUGCGUAGGCGGCUAAUUGAGUCGGAUGUGAAAUCCCCGAGCUUAACUUGGGAAUUGCAUUCGAUACUGGUUAGCUAGAGUGUGGGAGAGGAUGGUAGAAUUCCAGGUGUAGCGGUGAAAUGCGUAGAGAUCUGGAGGAAUACCGGUGGCGAAGGCGGCCCCCUGGACAAAGACUGACGCUCAGGUGCGAAAGCGUGGGGAGCAAACAGGAUUAGAUACCCCUGUAGUCCCUGUCUCUUAUAC